CGCUGGCGGCAUGCCUUACACAUGCAAGUCGAACGGCAGCACGGGUGCUUGCACCUGGUGGCGAGUGGCGAACGGGUGAGUAAUACAUCGGAACAUGUCCUGUAGUGGGGGAUAGCCCGGCGAAAGCCGGAUUAAUACCGCAUACGAUCUGAGGAUGAAAGCGGGGGACCUUCGGGCCUCGCGCUAUAGGGUUGGCCGAUGGCUGAUUAGCUAGUUGGUGGGGUAAAGGCCUACCAAGGCGACGAUCAGUAGCUGGUCUGAGAGGACGACCAGCCACACUGGGACUGAGACACGGCCCAGACUCCUACGGGAGGCAGCAGUGGGGAAUUUUGGACAAUGGGCGAAAGCCUGAUCCAGCAAUGCCGCGUGUGUGAAGAAGGCCUUCGGGUUGUAAAGCACUUUUGUCCGGAAAGAAAUCCUUGGUUCUAAUAUAGCCGGGGGAUGACGGUACCGGAAGAAUAAGCACCGGCUAACUACGUGCCAGCAGCCGCGGUAAUACGUAGGGUGCAAGCGUUAAUCGGAAUUACUGGGCGUAAAGCGUGCGCAGGCGGUUUGCUAAGACCGAUGUGAAAUCCCCGGGCUCAACCUGGGAACUGCAUUGGUGACUGGCAGGCUAGAGUAUGGCAGANGGGGGUAGAAUUCCACGUGUAGCAGUGAAAUGCGUAGAGAUGUGGANGAAUACCNAUGGCGAA
RNAcentral lists this ribosomal RNA (692 nucleotides) under uncultured Burkholderia sp. RNAcentral describes it as "bacterial SSU rRNA". It matches the Rfam family "Bacterial small subunit ribosomal RNA", at positions 34 to 719 of the family's 1533-position model. Lineage: Bacteria; Pseudomonadati; Pseudomonadota; Betaproteobacteria; Burkholderiales; Burkholderiaceae. The record is from RNAcentral.